RNAcentral lists this long non-coding RNA (2229 nucleotides) under Mus musculus (house mouse). Its description in RNAcentral is "predicted gene 4211 (Gm4211)". The record is from RNAcentral. Lineage: Eukaryota; Metazoa; Chordata; Mammalia; Rodentia; Muridae.
AGUUUUAUUCAGGACAUUCUGCAGCUGCAGUUUGGAGUAAAAUUGUGCUCUGGGACAGGUGGUCCAAGCUACGUUUGCAGAAAUGCUUAUCUAUCGUUCUCUUCAUUUUAAACUCCGAGGAGGAAGCAAGAAACAUGGCCGCUAUAAAGACAGAUUUCAACAGGCCUUCUAAAUCCCCGGGACCUCUCCAAGGGCAAGGAAGCUAAUCAGUGCCUGAGAUGACAGAUAGGAUGUCGCGAUGAAGGCCCUGGAUUUUACAGUGACAGCAUAAUGUGUGAUGGUGGCCCUCUCUCUGUGUGUUCAAAUCCAACUCUAUCUCAAUGCACAGUUAGGUCCUAUUUUCUCUGAGAAGCCUGGCCUGAUGGAUUUCACAGCUCAUAGGACUGGUAAAAUGCUUUUUACUAACUGUGUCCCAGCUUCUUUGUAAAAAAUUACUCUUGUUAUUAUUAUUUGCUGUAUUGGAGAUUUAACCCACACAUGUGCAGUAGGCAAGCAGUAUGUCAUGUCUAGUGUUUGUCUAAUCCCUUUGGCACUUGAGCUAGCCAGCCUGUUGGAGUAUACUGGGUGAAGAUGCAUCUAUUCAACUACUCAUUCUGUACUGUCCCUGGUCUUAUAUUUUAUAAAUCUUUGUCCCUUCCUCACAUGUCUAAAGCAAACUAGAAAUUGUAUCUUAUUGGCUUUAAUAAAGACCUGACAGCCAACAGCUGGGAAGGAGAUGGAAGCCAGAAGUCUGGGCAGAGGUAAGGACUCCAAGAGAAGAACCAAGAGGCAGAAGAUUCUCCAAUGAACACAAGAUGGGCAGAUGGACUAGAACUAAGCAAAAGAAGACUUGACCCCAUGGCUGGAUGUGGUGCCAGGAUUAAUUGGAUUAGAGUAGUUGGGAAACAGCCAGGCAAAAGGCCGAAAAUUUAAAAUAUUAAUAAACCUCUGUGUCAUUAUUUAUAUCACUGAUAGUUCCAAGAUAGUCCUGGUAUACCAGCUUAUGUAGGCAGUUUGUUGAAAAAAGUAGGAGAUGUAAAUUACACCCUCCCUCAUUAACCAAAUCAACAAAGAAUAAUGCCAGUUCAUGUCAUGGUAUCCAGAAAGGAAUAAACAUGGCUCCCUGCCCAAAGUUCAAAUUAUUAUUUGAAUUUUUCCCUGAUCCUUGUUUUCCUUGGAGAAGGAGAAUCUUUCUAGGAGUAGCCCAUGAAACAUGUAAAGAACAGCCUUGGGCACCUGCCUUUCAGGAUUGCUUUCUGCUUUAAGGAAGUCCAGAGAGGAAUCCCAAUACACAUUGGGACUGUCUUUGCCUGUUCUGUAUUUUGAAGAAGCCCCAGAAAUGUUCUUGCUGAGUGUCUUCUUGAAUCAAACAGGCCUUGACCCAAUAAGGUCCUGGAGACCUAAUGUCCCACUUAUGAUCCUGGAGCCCUAAGUGAGAAAGAAACCAUCGCCAAGAGAGAGCUUUGCCAAACGAUGACCAAAUAUGGUGAUCACCUAAUCUCUUGUCCCUAACCAAAAUAUUCCUUCCUAGAUCUCUUCUGAGAUUUUCCACAGCCAGAGCAGACCAGAGUCUACUGCUGGCAUUCAUUGCUGCAGAAAAGCACUUCUUCCAGUCUCCUUGGCAAUUUUAUAGAUGCUGAAGAGAGUUGAGUAAUAAAAAACAAAUAUUCCCCAUGUCUCAGAUGUCCAAGUUGUCCUUCGGGUUGAUGACGAUCAUUUAUAACAUUGCCUGUUUACUCUACAUGUGCACAUAAUUUACAUGAUCUGACUGCAGAAUACCUCACAAUUUCUAUAUUUUCAGAUGAGCUUGAAGAACUCGUGAAAUUUUGGAUAGGCUACCAGCAUAUGCUAUAGAGUAUUUUGUCCCUAAUGUCGGCAUGAAUAUAGUUUACCUACUGAAAUAGCUGCUACAUAUAGAUCUGCACACAGAUUUUCUUAUGAGCAAAGCACUUAGCUAAAAAGAAGAAAUCUGUGUGAAUGAGGAGGCCUAAAUUGACAUCUAGCCAGGCACAGUCAUCCUUUCUAAGGUAGCCAAGUCAGGCCUGCCUCUAGCUAAAUGUUUCCCUGGAGAGAACUUACCUUCUAAUGGAAUAGGAAGAUCUCAGUCAGAAUCUAGGACUGAAAACACAAAGAUAAAAAGGAAUCUUGAAUAAAUUUAGAUGAGCCAUUGUCAUUCGGCUGUUAGCUACAGGUUGCAUUAAUAUGGCAAUGGCUGGAGUUGAACAAUAAACUAUUCACUGUAUGACUAAA